GUCAAUAACCCCGCCUAAGUUCUAAUGAACUAUAGGUGAGGCUUGCGGAAAACGCAGGCCUGAUUGAUUAGCCUGAGUGCUUCGAGCACUGCGUUAUACAGGAAUGUAUAGGCACUUCAGAAUGCUCCACAAGUUCUGAACACUGC
This 146-nucleotide small RNA is filed under the name uncultured Bulleidia sp. RNAcentral's name for it is "HNH endonuclease-associated RNA and ORF (HEARO) RNA". It matches the Rfam family "HNH endonuclease-associated RNA and ORF (HEARO) RNA", at positions 1 to 128 of the family's 211-position model. Lineage: Bacteria; Bacillati; Bacillota; Erysipelotrichia; Erysipelotrichales; Erysipelotrichaceae. The record is from RNAcentral.